UGUAGAAACCAUCUUCGCAGGAUCUUCAAGCAGUUACUCCGAUGUUCUGGGUUGUCACGCCAAGCGGUGCUUCCUUUGCUCCAUGUUUCUUCCUUGAUUGUCGUGCCUGGUGAGCACAGGCUCAUGCAGAACUUUUUAGGAUAUCCAACAUGGAAACCGGCACAGUAAAGUGGUUCAACGACUCCAAGGGCUUCGGCUUCAUCACCCCGGACGCAGGCGGCAACGAUCUCUUCGCUCACUUCUCUGAAGUUCAGGGCAACGGGUUCAAGUCCCUCCAAGAGGGUCAGAAGGUGCGCUACGUUGCAGGCGUUGGCCAAAAGGGCCCGGCUGCCACGAAGAUC
This 341-nucleotide small RNA is filed under the name Ralstonia pickettii. Its description in RNAcentral is "cspA thermoregulator". The record is from RNAcentral. Lineage: Bacteria; Pseudomonadati; Pseudomonadota; Betaproteobacteria; Burkholderiales; Burkholderiaceae.